GAUGAACGCUGGCGGCGUGCUAAUACAUGCAAGUCGAGCGGACAGACGAGGUGCUUGCACCUCUGAAGUCAGCGGCGGACGGGUGAGUAACACGUGGGUAACCUACCUGUAAGACUGGGAUAACUUCGGGAAACCGGAGCUAAUACCGGAUAAUAUUUUCCAUCUCAUGGUGGAAUAGUGAAAGACGGUUUUGCUGUCACUUACAGAUGGACCCGCGGCGCAUUAGCUAGUUGGUGAGGUAACGGCUCACCAAGGCGACGAUGCGUAGCCGACCUGAGAGGGUGAUCGGCCACACUGGGACUGAGACACGGCCCAGACUCCUACGGGAGGCAGCAGUAGGGAAUCUUCCGCAAUGGACGAAAGUCUGACGGAGCAACGCCGCGUGAGUGAAGAAGGUCUUCGGAUCGUAAAACUCUGUUGUAAGGGAAGAACAAGUACGUUAGUAACUGAACGUAC
RNAcentral lists this ribosomal RNA (456 nucleotides) under uncultured bacterium. RNAcentral describes it as "bacterial SSU rRNA". It matches the Rfam family "Bacterial small subunit ribosomal RNA", at positions 28 to 478 of the family's 1533-position model. The record is from RNAcentral.